This 464-nucleotide ribosomal RNA is filed under the name uncultured bacterium. RNAcentral's name for it is "partial 16S ribosomal RNA". It matches the Rfam family "Bacterial small subunit ribosomal RNA", at positions 28 to 507 of the family's 1533-position model. The record is from RNAcentral.
GACGAACGCUGGCGGCGUGCUUAACACAUGCAAGUCGAACGGAAGGCCCUGCUUGCAGGGUCCUCGAGUGGCGAACGGGUGAGUAACACGUGGGUGAUCUGCCCUGCACUUCGGGAUAAGCCUGGGAAACUGGGUCUAAUACCGGAUAGGAGCCAUUUUUAGUGUGAUGGUUGGAAAGUUUUUUCGGUGUAGGAUGAGCUCGCGGCCUAUCAGCUUGUUGGUGGGGUAAUGGCCUACCAAGGCGGCGACGGGUAGCCGGCCUGAGAGGGUGGACGGCCACAUUGGGACUGAGAUACGGCCCAGACUCCUACGGGAGGCAGCAGUGGGGAAUAUUGCACAAUGGGCGCAAGCCUGAUGCAGCGACGCCGCGUGGGGGAUGACGGCCUUCGGGUUGUAAACUCCUUUCGCUAGGGACGAAGCUUUUUGUGACGGUACCUAGAUAAGAAGCACCGGCUAACUACGUG